RNAcentral lists this ribosomal RNA (264 nucleotides) under uncultured archaeon. RNAcentral's name for it is "partial 16S ribosomal RNA". It matches the Rfam family "Archaeal small subunit ribosomal RNA", at positions 718 to 982 of the family's 1478-position model. The record is from RNAcentral.
CACGACUACAUUAGAUACCCGUGUAGUCCCAGCCGUAAACGAUGUGCGUUAGGUGUAUCGACGACCACGAGUCGUCGAGGUGCCGAAGGGAAACCGUGAAACGUACCGCCUGGGAAGUACGGUCGCAAGGCUGAAACUUAAAGGAAUUGGCGGGGGAGCACCACAACAGGUGGAGCCUGCGGUUUAAUUGGACUCAACGCCGGAAAUCUCACCGGAUAAGACAGCGGAAUGAUUGCCGGGCUGAAGACUCUGCAUGACUAGCUG